ACUUCCAAGGGGUUUUAAAUUAAGCAUGGUGCUUAUGUUAAAAAAAGCCCUCCUGAAUCAAAUUAGACAUGGUGUCUAGGUUGAUUUUUGAGCCGAUAGUAUGCUAUAGUAGAUAUAGGAUAUUUUGUUGGACUAACCCAUGCAGGAAAACUUUCACUAUCGACAUGGGAAGUCCUGAGAUACACUCACAUUUUUGACAAAGAGAGAGACACAUGAAGUUUAACAAUUUACACAAGGAAGGCAUAGCUCACAAAAGAUGAUCCAUGGAGGGUGCCACAAAAACGAUGCACAACCACUAAGAAAGGAAAGCUUCCACAAGGUGAUACUGUACCAUCACUCUUCAAGUAAGGUAACAUCUUAAGGUACUUGUCUAUCACUUUUAUAAGUUUCUCCUUGGUUCUCGCGUUCACAUGAAUAAAAGAGACAAACAUGUAUGAUUUACAACUCUAGAUUAACCAACCCAAUCGAUUCAACAUGUUUAGUCCUUCCACCUUUGUGAUCCCACGCUUCUAAUCAUAUGAGCUAAAAUGUUGCACACUCAAUCUGUGGGAGAUAUAAAAAAACGUAACUAUAGAUAGAUUAUCUUUCUAUUAGGUUGAGCGAUCUGAUCUGACAAAUGUUUUAAAAUGCUACACUCAUGAUCUUAUUAUCCAUCAACUUUGUCUUGCUCACUAUGCUUAAGGUUAGAGAAGAAAAAAUACACUUUUGGUUCUGUUGGUGUUUUCCACCAACAGGGCCCAUGCACUUGAUCUCCGCCUUGUCUUUAUGAGCAGGUACACUUCGAGCAAAAUAUGAAGGAGUUUUUCAACUCCCAGACUCCACCAAGUGAAGAACCUAGAUCAACGAGCACAAACACACUGGAGAUACUAGACACUCAUGCAAUCACUGCCCUGAGAUGCUUGAAGAUGUAACUACUGGAGUAACCCCGUCAUGGAAGUAAUUACUGACCUUCUGCCGGUCAAGAGCGGCAAUCCAGGAUGCACCGUCAUCCCGAUCUCCAUCGGCAUGGUGGACUUCCUAGAAGCACUCUGCGACUUUGGCUCCAGCGUCAACAUUAUGCCCAGGGGAGGCCAUUCCUAAAUACCUCAGGAGCUGUCAUCUACGCUAGUGCUGCCAAGAUCAGUUUCUACAUCAAGGGAAGGAAGGAGAUGUUUUCCUUCAAGAACAAGACUAUACAAAUCUCAGAUCAAUCCCGACAUGAACCAAGGAAGAGGACCAACAGGAGGAACAGGAACAAGCAAGUGUGGACCGAGUUAGCUAAGAUGGUCACUGCAGUUCAAGGAGGUCAAGAUCAUCUAUUUAAGUCACCGUUCCUGACCAAAAAGGAUGACCCAGGCAUGCCAAGCAUCCAGUGCUCCAUUAAUGGAUGCAACUUCUAGAAGACGCUUUGCGACACCGGGUCAGGCAUCAACAUAAUGGCCGCAGUCACCUAUCAACUCCUGCAUGGAACCAUGUCCCUACAACCAACAUACAUUCAGCUUCAGAUGGCAGAUCAGACAUUCCGAAAUGUUGAAGACAAGUACGAUCCACCCAUCAUUCAUAGGAGACCGUUCCUCAGCACCGUUAAAGCAAUCAUCUACAUUGGAACCGGAGAAGUCCACAUGCACUUCCCCUCUGAAAAGGUACGCCGCUAUUUUACUGACCCUAACUAUAUAGUUGAAGAUUCUAAGCAGGUCAGGACAAGAAGAAGACGACGCAACCGCAACCAGAGGAGGCAAAUCAUCAAGGACGGAUGGGCAGACUACGAAGGAGAAGUGAUAAGGUCUCAAGAAAUACAACUUGAACAGAACUGUCCUGAGGAGGCCGUAGCACCAAGGCAGGUGUGGAGAAAGAAGAUAGUUAUACACGAAGAGGAAGCACCGUCGGAACCACCGACUACGCCAUCCAGCGAAUCUCAGAAUGACUCAGGAAAUGGAGAGUACCGUUCGGAGGACUUAAAAACACCGAACGCCUUGCCAAGAGGUAAACUUGGUAGUUAUCUUUUUCCUUUCAAUUAUUUUAGUUAAUCAGGUUCAUAUCAUCUUGAAAAGAAAAUAAAAAUGUUAAGUAAGCCCCAUGUGAGUAUGCUCAUGGCAUAAAACCCAUAAGUACAUUCACUGUGGUGGCAUCAAAAUAAAAUAAAUAUAUUCCUGUCCUAUAAAAAUAAAAAUAUAAAAAUAAAUUUAUGAUCCUACUAAAGAGACUAACAUUUAUUGAGGAGACUCAACAUGAUAAAGGCUAGAUAUUUAUGCUAACACUUAACUAGUUCCACAAAGCUUUGUUGUCUAUUUGAGCUCCACAGAAUUCAAGGAUCAAAGAAGACUAGCAGACGGAGGACAUCCUACUCGCUGUUAGAGUGCUGCAGACAAUCAAAUUCACCUUCGCCAUGUGCUAGCUACAACAGAAGAAAAUACGUCAAAAUCCAGCUUGGGGGAGAGCACCCCCAUUUAUCCAGCUAAGUAUUCUACUCACGUUUAUACUACUCUAAUAAUAAAAUGAUGCAUAAUCAUAGAAACCCAAAUAAAGAUUUUGUGCUUAUAUAUAUCUUUGCUUAGUUUGCUAAAUAAAUAAAUAAAUAAAGUCUGCUAUGAACCAUCACGAUAAGCUCUCACAUGGAAAUGAUGAAUAUUUACUCUGCCAUGACUAGUUAUCAAAAUUGAAAUCUCUCUCAAGUUUAGGCAUGACUGUUAUUAAUUAAGAUUUGCUCUAAACCUGAACUUGUGGGGAGAGUACUUGAUCUGAAGUCUAAGUCGUUAACGGAUAUGAUAUGGAAAGGUUGAGCUGCUGUUUAUCUGUUCCUAGAGAUGCUAGAAUUCUGGAGAAUUUUAUCUUUGAAAAUCAUUAAAAUAACACAUGAUGAGUUCCUGUAUGAUGAGAGUUUAAAUUCCUACCACAACCAUAUAUACAUGCUUGCUAGACUUUGAGCCACAUAUUUACUUUUUACUGCUUAUGAGCAUUGAGUGUGGUCAAGCUGUGUAGACCCUUAGGAGCUUGUCAUGUGGUUAAAUCAAGAUUCACUUGCACGUUCACUCAUACAUGUUGCUUCUACUUCGGAAGUACCAUCCACAUAUAUCCAUUUUCAUCUCCAGAACCACCUAAAAAUAUUCUACUCCUAAUCCGGGAGAGAAUAGCCAAAAACAUUUAUGUUCUUCCCUAUGAAAUAAAUGCUCAAGUUAUCUUGUUACUACCACUUGCUAUAUUAUCUCAUGAGAUGAGUGCUCUAAUAAAAAAAAGAGAGAAAAAAUUACGAGGAAAUAAAAAGGGGCAAGUGCCCGGAACCUCGAAAGAAAAGAAAAAAAAAAGAAAAAAAAUUGAGACGAGAGGUAAAAAUGGACAAGUGUCCGACAGUAGAAUUAGGGGUACAAGAUACCCACCUGAGAGAAAAGAAAAAAGAAAAUAUAGAGCAUCUCAUUCUCCUCACAAAGUUUCAAAAGAGCAAGAAAGGUAUGUAUCCCCUCAAAAGAGCAUGAGUAGAAUUAGACUUUCACCAUUGUUAUCACCAUCAUCACCAUACACCAUUCAUUCGCCACACAUGCACAUCUUGAUUUGACUUAUUGACUUGUUCUUCUGGAUCCAUGGUUUGACUAUGCAAUAAAUGUCUUGUAAGUAUGUAUUAGCUGUCUCCCUCCUAUGAGCUCCAGAUAUCAAAAGCCUUAUUAGAGUAGGGUGAGAGAGAAGGCAAUGCCACUAUGCCUUAUACCACAAAUACCACAUACUUUGAGAGAAGGCAUACACCAUUAAUGCCUUGGUAAGGAUCCAGAAAUACCACAAAAGAGAGACUAGAGAGAGUCAUACAAGGAAUCUCUGAGUUUUAUUUGAAAAUCUGCAAAAACUCCAGAGCCAUAGCAGAUCAAGAAUAAGAGACAUGGUGCUUGACUAGACCGUUCUAUCUUUUAACUACUCAAGACAGAAGUGACGGUUACAAGUCCCAUGGUGAAAGGUAAAUGAGUAAGUUUUAAGUCUUAACAGUUUACUCUAACCAGAGAUGAGAUCUUGUUUAAACGCAUGUGUAUCUUUAAGUUAUGAAACCACUGCAGAAACUCUUGAGUUCAUCUUUGCUCAGGGACGAGCAAAGGUUAAGCUUGGGGGAGUUUGUUGACGGUCCAUAAUGCUUACAUUUAACCAUCAACUAAUCAUAGAAAAGGAUCCAAAUGCAACCAACACCUAGACUUAGGGUUUUAUCUGACAGAAUUCCACAAGUUUUGGUGUUUGCCUAUUUCUGCAGAGGGUUAUCAGGAAAUACGGAAGAAAGGCCCACACGUCGGGUUUACAUAGAGAUAUUAACGUGCCGCACAAUUAUCUACCAUCUAGAAGACUCCAGAAGCCACGGGACCGAAGCGGAGGCCGAGGGGGCUCAGGCACUGGGCGCCCGCCCUACCUUACUGGGCGCCCGCCCUCCCCCCUGGACCAAACAGAGUCCAAUUCGGGGACAACGCUCCACCGACCUAAAGGAUCAAGGAAAACCACACGAUCAAUGUCGGUUUGAUCCGACGGCCCAGAUUCACUUGAAGGGACUAUAAAACCAGACCCCCCUGGCCCCUGGAGAUCAUACCUCUUCUACAGAAUCAAAGCUAGGGUUUCAAUUCUUCAUCCAAGUAGAGAGGAUCCCUCUAGUUCUUCUAGUUCUACCUCUAGUUCAUCUAGAUCUAGUUCUAGUUCAUCUAGUUCUAGUUCUAGUUCCUCUAGUUCUAGUUCUAGUUAGUUCUAGUUGUAAUCUAGAAAAUAGGGAGAGAGAAGAGGAGAGUGGAGGAGGAGCCAGAUCUAUCGGAUCUUUCUCAACAUUAUACUUUUGCAGCAUCUGGUUCGUUCUUGAUCGUUCUCCAGGUUCUUCAAUUCAUAAUUCCUGAGUUCUUUAAUUACUUUUAUUUACAUUCAAGUUAUUUAUUGGAUUCCCGCUUGCAUCAAGUGCUCUAGUCUUUAUAACGCUAGAGUAGUAAUUAAUAGAUUAGACGUGGUGUUUAGUCUUGCGAUUACCUAGAAUUGCACCCAAUCCUGCGGAUUGUUGUGGUAGCCUUAGGGUAGUGACAGCCCUAACGGUCGACGUAUUCCACCACGUUCGGAUCGGUGUUUGUAGGACCGUAGUCAGACCUUCCUAGCCCCCUUCUCAUCUCUUUCUGUGGUUAGUGCUCUGAUGUCCCGAUAUAGAUAAUAUUGAAGUAAUUCUUGAUUCUUAGAUCAACUAGAGAACUCUCAGGAAACUUCCUCUCUUCCCACCAAAAAUAAUCAUAUAGUUAUCCUUGGGCGAUCUUGAAUCUUAAUUAGUACACUCACGUUCCCUGUGGAAAAUCGAUACUCUGGAAUACUCACGGGUGAAGGCUACAUCGGUAUCCGUGCGCUUGCGGAUUUUUCUGUUUGCGUUUAAAAUACCCAACACAUACCACAUGGAUUUCACUCCAAACAUUAAUGAGCAUGGAAUUUAUUUCAUAGCCACUUCAUUUACUCCAUGCUCAUAUGUAACAUUUUCCCAAUCCAUUGGUCUCUCCAACAUCACCACAUUCGAGAUCUCCAACCCCCUCUUCCUUUCUAUUUAUGAAAGCUUUAAAAGGGCAGUUGUCGAUGCAUAUGUCUAUAAUAAAUAAGCACUGAUUAGAUAUAGGUCAGCGUUGGAGGGGAAACCACUUCGCCGACAUAAAUUGAUGGUUUCCCAAGGACAAGCUUAGUGUCCUAAAAUAAGCACUGAUUAGAUCAUAACAUGAGCUUUUAAUUAUUUGCAACAUUACCUUGUGUAUUGAGCAUAUAAGGAUAAUUGUAAAAAAUUUCCUUCGGGUAUUCAACCUUUCCAAGAUUGGAGCAACAAGAUCGGAUGAAUGACAAACACAAGGUAUGUCCAACCAAUCAUCAUACAACAUUGAAUUAAAUUCAUCCAAACUUGAAUUUUGCAAAAUUCAAGCUUGGGGGAGUAAUUUACAUAAAAACAUUCUUUGCCAUGUUGCUAUGUUGGUUAUCCCUACCUUUGAUACAUGCUCAAUUUGUUAAAUACUAAUCACACUACUUCAUCUCCAUUUGAGUAGAUCUCUAUAAAUGCUCUCAUGCUACCUUUAUUUGCUUUAGUAUAUGUCUAGGUUUGGAUUAGUUUCAUUUAUCUCUUAAUUAAGCAUGGUGCUUAGUUUAGGAAUGAUGAUCUUACUUCUAAGGGAUUUUAAAUUAAGCAUGGUGCUUAGGUUAAAAUGCCCUCCUAAAUCAAAUUAGACAUGGUGUCUAGGUUGAUAUUUAAGCCGAUAGUAUGCUAUAGUAGAUAUUGGAUAUUUUGUCGGACUAACCCCUGCAGGAAAACUUUCAAUAUCGACCUGGAAAGUCCUGAGAUAAACUCACAUUGGAGACAAAGAGAGAGACACAUGAAGUUUAACAAUUUAGACAAGAAAGGCAUAGCUCACAAGAGAUGAUCCAUGGAGGGUGCCACAAACACGAUGCACAACCGCUAAGAAAGGAAAGCUUCCACAUGGUGAUAUUGUACCAUCACUCUUCAAGUAAGGUAACAUCUUAAGGUACUUGACUAUCACUUUUAUAAGCUUCUCCUUGAUUCUGGCAUGCACAUGGAUAAAAAGACAAACAUGUAUGAUUUACAACUCUAGAUUAACCAACUCAAUCGAUUCAACAUGUUUAGUCCUUCCACCUUUGUGAUCCCACACUCCUAAUCAUAUGAGCUAAAAUGUUGCACACUCAAUCUUUGGAAGAUAUAUAUAAAAAAAUAAUAAGUAUAGAUAGAUUAUCUUUCCAUAAGGUUGAGCAAUCUGAUCUGGCAAAUGUUUUAAAUGUUACACUCAUGAUCUUAUUAUCCAUCAACUUUUUCUUGCUCACUAUGCUUAAGGUUAGAGAGAACAAAUACACUUUUGGUUCUGUUGGUUUUUCCACCAACAGGGCCCAUGCACUUGAUCUCUGCCCUGUCUCUAUGAGCAGGUACACUUCGAGCAAAAUAUGGAGGAGUUUUACAACUCCCUGACUCCACCAAGAGAAGAACCUGGAUCUACGAGCACAAACACACUGGAGAUACUAGACACUCAGGCAAUCACUACCCUGAGAUGCUUGAGGAUGUAAACUACAUCAACAACAACAACUACUACUACUACCGUCCUCAACAAAAUCAAGAGAGGCAAGCCAGGACACCCCGUCAUCCUGAUCUCCAUCGACAUGGUGGACUUCCUAGAAGCACUCUACGACUUUGGCUCUAGCGUCAACAUUAUACUCAGGGUACUCUAUGAAAAAUUCUUUGCACAUCCUUUCCUAGAAACAACCAUGUGUUUGCAGCUUGCAGAUCAGACACUAAGUUUCCCAAAAGGAAUAUUUAAGAACCUCUAUGUCCGAGUUGGUACCUUGUACGCACCAGCAGACUUCGUGGUGAUAGAGACUGGUACUGAUGAGAGGGCACCCAUCAUCCAAGGGAGGUCAUUCCUGAACACCUCAGGAGCCGACAUCUACGCUAGUGCUGCCAAGAUCAGUUUAUACAUCAAGGGGAAAGGAGAUGUUUUCCUUCAAGAACAAGACUACACAAACCUCAGAGCAAUCCCGACAUGAACCAAGGAAGAGGGCCAACAGGAGGAACAGGAACAAGCAAAUGUGGACCGAGUCAGCUAAGAUGGUCACUGCAGUUCAAGGAGGUCAAGAUCGUCGAUUUAAGUCACCGUUCUUGACCAAAAAGGAUGACCCAGUCACCUAUCAGCUCCUGUUCGGAACCAUGCCCCUAAAACCAACAUACAUUCAGCUCCAGAUGGCAGAUCAGACAUUCCGAAAGGGUAUUGACAAUGGAGAAGACAAGUAUGAUCCACCCAUCAUCCUUGGGAGACCGUUCCUCAGCACCGUUAAAGCAAUCAUCUACAUUGGAACCGGAGAAGUCCACAUGCACUUCCCCUCUGAGAAGGUACGCCACUAUUUUACUGACCCUAACUAUAUAGUUGAAGACUCUAAGCAGGUCAGAACAAAAAGAAGACGACGCAACCGCAACCAGAGGAGGCAAAUCAUCAAGGACGGAUGGGCAGACUACGAAGGAGAAGUGGUAAGGUCUGAAGACAUAGAGCUUGAACAGAACUGUCCUGAGGAGACCGUAGCACCGAGUCAGGUGUGGAGAGAGAAGAUAGUUAUACAUGAAGAGCAGGCGCCGCCGAAACCACCGACUACGCCAUCUAGCGAAUCCCAGGAUGACUGAGGAAACAGAGAGUCCCGUUCAGAGGACUUAAACACCGAACGCCUUGCCAAGGGUAAACAUGGUAGUUAUCUUAUUCCUUUCAAUUAUUUAAAAUAGUUUUCUUAGUUAAUCAGGUUCAUAUCAUCUUGAAAAGAAAAUAAAAAUGUUAAAAAUAGUAAGCCCCAUGUGAGUAUGCUUAUGGCAUAAAAAUAAGAUUGUGAUCCUACUAAAGAGAGUAACAUUUAUUGAGGAGGCUCAACAUGAUAAAGGCUAGAUACUUAUGCUAACACUUAACUAGUUCCACAAAGCUUUGUUGUCUAUUUGAGCUCCAUAGAAUUCAAGGAUCAAAGAAGACUAGCAGAAGGAGGACGUCCCAAUUGGUCAGGGUGCUGCCAACAUUCAAAUACACCUCCGCCACCUGCUAGCUACAUCAGAAGAAAUUACGUCAAAAUCCAGAUUGGGGGAGAGCACCCCCAUUUAUCCAGCUAAGUGUUCUACUCAUGUUUAAUAAUAAAAAGAUGCAUAAUCAUGUCGGUGUUUCCCCCCGGGGGGUCACACCAACGGGUAAACUUGUAUGCGUGCUCCCCUUUCCAGAUGGUGAUGCAAGAAAAGACACAAAGAUUUAUCCUGGUUCGGGCAAGAGAAGGCCCUACGUCCAGCGGGGGGAGAGGUGUUUGUAUUAUCUUGCGCCUAAGUUCUUGUACAGGGGUGAAUACAGGCGUGAGAUGUAUAGAGAUGGAGUAUGGAAGCUCUACUACGUGUGUGUGUGUUGUGUUGUAUCGCGUGUCCUGUAUCCGCUCCAGGGCCUCCCCUUUUAUAGUUCCAAGGAGGGGCCUAGGGUACAUGUAUAGGCGUCAGAGUAGGGGUCGAUAGCGGUAUGGCGUGCUGACCUACUCGAGGCCUCCGUACAGGCAUUGUCUCGAGCCAUCUUGUCUUGGUACCUUGAUGAUGAUUACGCGUGCCCCUAUAUCCCGCUCUGUGCGCCGGCUUGGGUUGGUUUAUCUGUUGCACGCUUGUACGUCGCGGCAGCAGCUGCGUCGGAGUGGUUGAAGUGCUGUCAUUCGUCGCCCGACCCUUUCCUAGGAAGGAAACAUGCCUACUCGAGGGUCGGAUGCCGUGUAGCGCCUCGCUAGCUAGAGCGCUGACCUUGGGCGUCUCGAGGGGGGUCUUGAUUAGACGUCCCGACCCACUUCCUGCCUCCUGCCAUGCUCUGGUUCGUUUGGUGAGGAAGGCUGCAAAAAGAAUGACAGCAUGGGUGCCUGUUCCCUAUCACGCUUCCCGUGACUGGCAGGUUAGGUGAGAACACGGUAGGCGCAUUAAAUGCCCUGGUUCCCGUGCCCGCGUCAGGCGGCGGGCGGCGUCCUUGCGCUCGAGGCCUUCCGAUUCGCUCGAGCCUGUUUCCGUAUUCGACAGUAGCCGGCGCUCGAGCCCUGGUCGAUUCGCAGGACGCUCUUUCUGUGUUCGAGACUAUGGUCGUCGUGGACUGUGCAUACAACUAGAGGGGGGGCGUCGAGUUGGAUACCUCGACCUGUGUACGGAUACUCUUGAUAUGCUCAUCAGUUAGGGCACCCCUUACUGAUAUCCUCGACAGUAGCCCCCGAGUCUCCAGUCGAGCGCUGGCGCUCGAGUGGAGGCUAUAUUUUGUGGUCGUGUUUCUGUGGGGGCGCGCGAGCGACCCCACGGGGGUAGCCCGCGAGCCCUUGGAGGAGUUUUUGACUCCUUCGAGGGUUAUAUUGCCUAAUUUGUGGAAAAGCUCUCGAUAUCCACCAUGGAAGGCUUCUUCAGGGCAUUGAGCGAGCGUCAUCUACCCUAGACUGAGUUCCUAGCGGGUAACCGAAGUGAGAACCUGUGCCCCUUUCGAGGGGGUCAGCUGUAGCCUGGAGGCGUUGUCAUAAAGCGGGGUCGAUAUGGUUGGGGAUGCUGGCCUCGUUCGAUAGAGUCUAGUGGCUCGAUGCCUCCCUUCGUGGGGACUCCUCUCGACCGUCUCGACCUUGCCUUGGACAUCCCCAACGAAUUCUUUCGAGGCGGGCCUCGACAUUCGACCACUCCCUAGGCAUCCCUGACUCUGGUACUCAAGAUCGGCUGUCGAACCCGAUCGGUGGGUCAGCCUGCGACCUCUCAAGAUUUUAAUUGUAACAAAUGCGUACCUUAGCUUACGAGGGAAGGAAAAGGCCGUUUUGGUUCGCCUUUUUGCCAGUUGGGCACGUCUUUUCAGGCGAGAGCCGUUGCAGCACUGUGCCUGCGUGGAAUCCGUAGCGUCCCGUCUGUGAGGGAGAUGAGAACCGUUAGGCGGCGCAUUUAUGGGAGGAGUUACCGUAUCUAUCGGAUCUGUCCGUUGGUGAGUUGCCGUCUAUAAAUGCGCCGUGGCCUUGUUGCCAUUGUUCCUUCCACCUUCUGCCUCCAUUCUCGCCUCAGCUUCCUUGCCGUCUUACACGCGCGCACCCUCGAGCAGUAGAAAAGUCACCUUUCUCCCACCUGAAAAUGCCUGUGAGACUCAUCGCCACCGAUGACUGGUGCCCGUCGUCGAUGACGGAGCGCCGGCUGCUGGAGCUCGAGAGGGAGGGACUCCUGCGCCCUCGCACUUUGUCGUCGCGACCGGAGUGGAUCGCGCCGACAGCGGACCACCGGGAGCCAAGGCCGCCCAAGGGCUACGUGGUCUCCUUCGCCAAGUUCCACCGCCGUGGCUUGGGUUCUCCUCCGAGCCGCUUCAUGCGGGCGCUCUGCCACUACUACGGGGUGGAGCUCCAGCACUUCUCGCCAAACGCCGUCACCGCCGCGGUGUGUGAUGGCUAUCUGGGGAUGAUGCCCCACUGGGACCUGUGGCUCCAUCUGUACCGGGGUGAGUUCUUCAACGCCCCUACUGGAACCACAGGUGUGAGGAAGCCUGUACGGGCCGGGUGCCUCAACCUAGUGCUGAAGACUGGCAAAUCGGAGAGGCCGCGCAAGUACAUCCCGGUGGGGCUAAUGUCGAACCAUGCCGGAUGGGACUCGCAGUGGUUUUAUCUACGGAACGACGAUGACCUCUUCCCCGUCUACACCGGGCGCUUGAUCUCGGAGCGCCUGGGCCACUAGAGCUACGGCGUCAUCCAAACUCACCAAGCACGGCUCGACCCCCUCCUCAACGCCCUGAAGAAGCUACGCGAUGAAGGCCUGUCAGCCGCUCUCGUUCUCUCGGCCGUCCAUCAUUGGAGAUUUCUCCCGUUGAUGUCUCGGCCCUUGAGGAUGGACGAGAUGGGUCCCGGCGUUUUGUCCCAGGAUCUCGAGGCUUGCCGAAUGUCCAACGAGGCUCCGAAAGACGAUGAGGUUGUGGCCCGAGUUAGGGCGGCCGUUGCUGGCGACUUCCAGCCAGAGCACGUCAAUGGCUUCCCCAUGAGGCCCGAUCAGGGGUCGAUCGACCUGGUAAGUCCUUUUCUUAUGUAUGAUCUUGAAUCUCGAUCCUCUUCGACCACUUUUAAGACCCAUCUCUGUCCGUGCAGGGACUGAUCGACGCUCGAUCCUCGAGGCCUCCAAUAAAGCAGGACGAAGUGGAUCGUGACAGGCGGCGACAGUCCGCAGAAAAGCAGAAGUCCACAGUGGACUUGAAAAAGAAGAAGGAAAAGAAGAGGAACCUCGAUCGUCAAGCGCUGGAGACGCAUCGGGCGAUGUCCAGGCAGAGGUGGGAGCCAGAGGAAGAAUCCCCCGACGAGGACGAUGGCGGCGAUGGCGGUGACGACAGCGAUGAUUCCGAGGGAAUGGCGUCCCGUCUCGACCGGAUCCUCGAGGGCCCUCACCCGACCAUCGUCGACGUCCCGCGGACGGAAGCCCCAAAGGGGGCGCCAAGCGGGCCUCGCGAAAGCCAGCAGAGGCAGCCGUCCCCACGUCGUUCCCGCGCCGACACUCCUCCAGAGCCCGCGCCAGGUCGGACCGUCCCCUGCCCCCAACCUCCUCCCGCGUCUAAGGUAGGCCACCGAGUUAAGUCCCUGAUGAUGGGGCCGCUGACUCGUGGUCACGCCGUGGCCUCGAGCAAGGGAGGAACGGAUCGUAGGAGCGCCAGUCUAGGCGCCGGCCAGGCGGGAGAUGCCGAGCUGAGACCGGCGCCCGCUCGCGAGGGGCCCGGAGCCUCGACGCGGGGUGGCUCGAAGCCUGCUGGUCGAGGGACCGGUAGGCGGGUCGCCCUUCCUGUGGGGUAGGAUCUCUGACGUCAUGAUUCUUAUCUUUCGGUAUCUUUGCAUUUUCUUGGGCCGUGAUCUUUAUUUAUGCUCGUUCUUCUUUUCUCAGGUUGAAGCGGACGCUCGAACAGGCCCAGCCCUCGAUGGCCAAGAGGCUUAAGGUGGGAGCGGCCUCCAAAGACUCAGGUUAGUGGUACACUCCCAAUUUCGUGUUAGCUUUUUGUCAAUUAUCAUGGCGGCUGAAUUUUUGCCUUUGAGUGCUUACAGGCUCCUCCGACCCCCGGUCGUCGACUGGUGUCGAGGGCGCUCUGCCCCGUCCAUUGGUGGGGGAGUCUGCUCCACCGUCACAGAAAAGGAUCGAGGCGCCUCGUCCUCAAGAACAGGAGGGAGCCCCCGAGCCUCCACGCUCUAGGGUCGAGGAGGAUCCUAUCACAAUAAGUGACGGGUCCGGUGGCGACGGGCCUUUGAAGGACGCCCGCCCCAUGUACGAGGAGGUCGAGGCCCCUCCUACCACGAAGCAGACGCCUUGGCCCAUCGGGCUCCAUUCUGUCGAGGAGCGGAGGAAGAAGGAGGAGGAGGAGCACGAGCAGGAGACGCGGCAACAGCUGCGUGAGGGACGGCAGCAGCCGUAGCAGGAAGAAGGAGAGGAGGAGCGGUGGCCAGGGGGACCCCUGCUCGAGGAGUUGUUGGAGCAGGAUCGGCAGCAGGAGCUACGGGAGCUCCAGGAGCAGCAGCAGCAGAGGAGCCAGCAGUUAGGGGAACUGCUCGAGCCGCCACCUCGCAGUCUGACCCAGUCAGCGCCGCCGACGCCACAAGAGCCGGAAACCGGGGAGGAGGUUUUGCGUGUCUAUGGUCCACCGACGCCGGCGUGCCUCCGUCUGGGAGCGCCCGCCUCGAUCCCAGCUGAGUCAGGGCGAGCGGACGGCGUGGUGGCGCUCACCUGUAUGAUGUGCACCCCCGUCGACUCUCAGUCAGAGGUCAACGGCACGAUCUAUGGCAUCGACGGGAUCGCUCCUGGAUUCCUCCGGGAGCGUCAGUUGUGGGAGGACCGCAUUCCCGCCGAGGAAGACAAAGCUAGGACGUCGGGCGGUGGCGGUGCUAGCGAAACGGGAACUUGGAAGACGGUGGACGACGACGGCCAAUUCCCCUCCCUCGUCGACCUGUUUUUGCGCCACGGGGGGUCGCUCGAGACUGUUGAGGAGCUCAUUCGGGGUGUCAAGGCGCGCGCCGAUCAGGAGAUGGAGAACUGGUGCCCCGACCGGAUCCGCAUUCGGGCCUCCACCGACCCGUCCGAGCCUAACAUCUUUAUGGACGAUUGGAAGGAGGCCGAGAAGUGGGAGCAUCUCGAGGAGCUUCGCCUCCGGAUGAAGCAUGUGGUGGGGCUCUUGUCCGACGUCGUCAACAAUGGGCUCAGACCGGCCUACUUUGUAAGUGAUUUUGGUCUUGCGUUCUGGACGUUCUGGUUUUGUGUUCUUACUGUUCCACUGCUGCUUCGCAGGAUCUAAAGGAGACCUCCCGCAUCAAAUCAAGCUUUAUUCAUGCGACGAGGGGCGGCUGGGAGCAACUCCCUCUCCUCAAGGACAAACUCCUGGAGUCGCAGGAGAAACUCCUCAAGGCCUAUAAGGAGCUUUUGGCGCUCGAGGAGGAGAAGAAGGAGAGGGAGGCCGCCCUGGCUGAGGCUCGGGAGGCCUCGAGGAAGGCAGUGGAAGAGGCCGCGCUGUUGAGGGAGCGGGCUAUGAUGGUCGAGGAGGCUGCGUCCAAGGCCCGAGAAGAGGCCUUGUCUUACAAGAGCGCGGCCACUGACCUGGACAAGGAGAAGGGCCUCCUCAAGACAGACCUUGCCUCCCUUCGAGAAUCCUUCCAAAAGAUGAAGGUGGAGUGUGUCAAUGGCGAGAUUGCCCAGAGCGCCGCGGAGGAGGCCAAGAAGAAGGCUCUUGAGGAUCUCGAGGUGGAGUGGACUCGAUCUCGCAGCCUUUCUGGCGAUGUUGACCAUCUGAAGAGAGCGCUGUUGGAGAAAGAUUGAGCUAUCGCGUAGGCAGGCAAGGCGAUCGAGGACCUACGCGUCACCAACACCGAGCUGGUGCGCUCCAACAAGGAGAUCGAGAGGGCCAACACUAACUUGGUCGGCGAGAAUACGGCUCUGGAGGAGAGGAUUCAUGGUAUGUUUCCAUUCUCGAGUUUCAUUUCCGAGGUGUGGUUUGUGUUAUCUAAUUUCUCCGUGUCGGUCCUUGUAGGGCUAAAAGACGAGCUGCAUGCCGCUCAAGUCAAGGCCUGCUCCACCAAGGCUCAGCUCGAGGGGGAGGUCGCUUUGAACCGUCGACUGCGGACGGCGAUAAGUGAUCUCUCAGCCUCCAGGGAGCUCGAACCCGUGGACGAGUCGAGGGAGGAGGCUCGAGGCGAUGCACUGGUCGACCAGCUAUGCUAUCUAGGUGCUACGCUGAGGGACCGGGUGCGGGACGCCCUCCAUACCGGGGUAAAGGGGGCAAUGGCAGUUGUCUGCUCAGGCUUUUCCUACGAUAUGGAGGUGGUGUCCCACGGCUUCGUCACCGAUAUUUCCAAGACCGACGCAGAGAACGAGGAGAGGCUCCACGCCUUGAUCGACGACACGGAGGCUCCUGGGAAAGGCUGGCGAGGCUGUUCGAGCCGGAAGUGCUUCCUCCCGAGACUAGCUCGGGCGCGGACGAUGGCAGCGAGGGCUGAGAUGUAGAUUAAGGCCUGCGAGCCUACUUUGGGUGCUAGGGCCCCUUGUAUAGUACUUAUUAUUCUGUCUUUAAGUAAUACUGUGUCUUUUAAGCGGUUUUAUAGAUCUAUGAAUAUUUGCCUAUCUUUCCGCUCGAGGUUCCUCUGUUUCCCUUUGUGCCUGUGUUUGUAUUCCUCGUUUGGUCUUUUGUUUAAGGUGAUCUCAAUUGCCUCAAGGGUGAGGAAGCGAGUAGAGUUUCCAUAGCCCGGGGGCGUAGGAGUUCUCAGGCUCGUUGUCUCUCGGCCCUUAAGGGGCUCGAGGUGCCUCUACUACUCGACCGUGCGAGGUUUACUAAGUAGGGCUGAAAAAAUUACUUGGCUUUUUCGGCACUUGGGGGGGGCAUCCCCCCACUAGCCCCCGAGGGGGUAUCGACUAUGAUUGGUCAUAGUUGGUACUCCCUUCUAACGUCGAGAUUUCGACCCGUUAAAAAGUAAAUUACUCGAGGGAAAGAUCUUAUUCAUUCAUGCAUUCAUUCAUAAGGUCUUGGUACAAGACGUACAUGGGAACAUAAAGCUUUGAAAUUCUAGGGGUAGAAUCGACGUAGCUGUUCGAUGUUCCACGUGUUGGUGAAGACCGCCCCCUUUUCGUCCGCGAGCUUGUAUGUCCUUGGCUUCAGGACCUCGGCAACCAUGUAUGGGCCCUCCCAGGGUGGGGUCAGCUUGUGACGUCCCUGGUUGCUUUGCUGCCGCCGUAGGAUGAGAUCACCCACGUUCAGAUCCCUUUUGCAUAUGUGCUUGUCGUGGUAGCGUUGGAGCUUUUGUUGGUAUCUGGCGGAGUUGAGGAGAGCCAUGUCUCGAGCUUCCUCGAGUUGGUCGACCGCAUUUUCUCGAGUCUCCUUAUUUGAUUGCUCGUUGUACGCUUUGAGUCAAGGGGACCCGUACUCGAGGUCCGUUGGGAGCAUAGCCUCAGAGCCGUAGGCCAUGAAGAAUGGGGUGUAUUUUGUGGCCCUGCUCGGUGUCGUCCUCAAGCUCUAUACGACCAAAGAGAGCUCUUCGACCCAUUUUUUGCCGAACUUCUUCAAGCAGUUGUAGAUCCUCGGUUUGAGGCCCUACAAAAGCAUGCCGUUGGCAUGCUCGACCUGGCCGUUAGUUCGAGGGUGGGCUACUGCAGACCAAUUCACACGGAUGUGAUGCCGAUCACAGAAGUCUAAGAACUUUUUGCCGGUGAACUGAGUGCCGUUGUCGGUGAUGAUGACGUUGGGAAUCCCAAACCGGUGGAUGAUGUCGGUGAAGAAAAGAACGGCAUGCUCGGAGCGGAUGUUAAUGAUGGGGCGAGCCUCGAUCCAUUUGGAGAAUUUGUCGAUGGCCACCAGCAAAUGGGUGUAUCCCCCUGCUGCCUUCUGUAGGGGCCCUACUAGGUCGAGUCCCCAUACCGCGAACGGCCACGUGAUGGGGAUCAUCUGGAGAGCGUGGGCGGGGAGGUGCGUCUACUUGGCAUAAAACUGACACCCAUGGCAUGAGCGUACGAGUUCGAUGGCGUCAGCUACGGUCGUUGGCCAGUAGAAGCCUUGUCGGAAAGCAUUCCCUACAAGGGUCCGCGGAGCAGCGUGGUGGCCGCAAGCCCCCGAGUGUAGAUCCUCGAGGAGUUUUCGGCCUUCCUCUAUGGUGAUGCAGCGCUUCAAGAUUCCUGUCGGGCUUCGUCGGUAUAGCUCAUUGCCUUCGCCGUAGAUUACGUAUGACUUGGCCCGUCGAGCGAUACGGCGGGCCUCGGAUCGAUCUUCUGGUAGCUCGCAACGAAUCAGGCAGUCGAGGAAUGGCGUGCGCCAAUCGAACGGUCGACCGGGUCGCUGCUCUGCCUCCAUUACCUCUACUUCCGCUAGCAGUGUCUCGAUGGUGUCAGUUUGUUGUGGGGCGGUGUUUUUGACGUCAGCCCCCGAGCCCAAGUCGACGGAUGGCUUGUGGAGAUCUCUCGAGAAUGCGUCGGGCGGGACCGUGCCUCGAGGUGACGCGAUCUUGGCGAGUUCGUCGUGUGCCUCGUUGUAGCGUCGGGCGAUGUGGACGAGUUCGAGGCCGUGGAACUUAUCCUCGAGUUGACGUACCUCCUUGCAAUAUGCCUCCAUUUUUGGGUCGUGGCAGUUGGAGGCUUUCAUCACUUGGUCGAUGACGAGUGGAGAGUCGCCUCGAACGUCGAGGCGUCGAACUCCCAGCUCGACGGCGAUCUUCAGCCCAUUGACAAGGGCCUCGUAUUCCACAACGUUGUUAGAUGCCGCAAAGUGUAUCCUGAUGACAUACCUCAUAUGAACGCCCAGGGGCGAGAUGAAUAGCAGACCUGCCCCAGCUCCCGUCUUCAUUAGAGACCCGUCGAAAUACAUCGUCCAUAGUUCUGCUUGAACCUGAGCUGGGGGAGCUGGGAGUCCAUCCAUUCCGCGACGAAAUCCACCAGGGCUUGUGACUUGAUAGCUUUGCGGGGCGCAUAAGUGAGGGUCUCACUCAUGAGCUCGACCGACCACUUGGUGAUUCUUCCCGUGGCCUCCCGACUCUAGAUGAUCUCACCCAAGGGGAAGGACGAGACCACCGUGAUAGGGUGGCCGAGGAAGUAAUGUUGCAGCUUGUGUCGGGUGAGGAUCACGGCGUAGAUCAGCUUUUGGAUCUGUGGGUACCGUGCCUUGGUCUCUGAAAGCACCUCGCUGAUGAAAUAGACCGGCCUCUUGACUGGCAGCGCAUGACCCUCAUCCCGCCUUUCGACCACUACUGCCACACUGACCACCUGGGUCGUCGAGGCGACGUACAAAAGUAGAGGUUCUGUGGGUUGAGGUGGGACUAGGACCUGGGCGGAGGUCAGUGUUUUCUUUAAAUUAUCGAGGGUUUCCUCGACUUCUGGGGUCCAAGAGAAACACUUGGUUUUUUUCAAGAGCCGAUACAACGGCAAUGCCUUUUCUCCUAACCUCGAGAUAAAAUGACUCAGCGCCGCCAAACAUCCCGUGACCUUUUGCACUCCCUUGACAUCUCGGAUCGGCCCCAUUCUCGUGAUGGCUGAGACUUUCUCGGGAUUGGCCUCUAUGCCGCGUUGGGAGACUAUGUAUCCUAGGAGCAUGCCUCGGGGUACAACAAAGACACAUUUCUCUGGGUUGAGCUUGAUCUUGCUGGCGGUAAGCAAAUGAAAGUGAUCUCGAGGUCCUGAAUCAGGUCUCCUCGUUGCUUUGACUUGACGACGAUGUCGUCGACAUAGGCCUCGACCGUCGACCCUAUGUGUUUGCCAAACACGUGGAGCAUGCAGCGCUGGUGUGUUGCUCCCACGUUUCGAAGCCUGAACGGCAUAGUUACAUAACAGUACAUCCCAAAAGGCGUAAUGAACGAUGUCGCGAGCUGGUCGGACUCUUUCAUUUUUAUUUGAUGGUAACCAGAAUAUGCAUCAAGGAAAGAAAGGGUUUCACAUCCCGUAGUAGAAUCAACAAUUUGAUAGAUACGUGGUAGUGGAAAAGGAACUGUCGGACAUGCUUUAUUUAAACUUGUAUAAUCGACACACAUCCUCAUUUUCCCAUUCUUUUUCUUAACUAGUACAGGGUUUGCUAACCAGUCGGGAUGGUGAACCUCCUUGAUGAAUUCGGCCGUCAAAAGCUUGUGGAUCCCAUCACCAAUGAUCUUGCGCUUCUCCUCGUCGAAGCAGCGCAACCGUUGCUUCACUGGCUUGGAACCGGCUCAAAUUUCCAAGGAGUGCUCGGCGACUUCCCUCGGUAUGCCCGGCAUGUCCGAGGGGCUCCAUGCAAACAUGUCGGCGUUUGCACGGAGAAAGUCGACGAGCACGACUUCUUAUUUGGGGUCGAGGUCGGCGUUGAUCGUCAGCACCUUGCCGUCGGAGUUGUUGGGGUCGAGCGGGAUCUUCUUCGUUCCUUAUGCCGGCUCGAAGCUGCCCGCGUGGCGCUUGGGCUCUGGAGCCUCUACGGCUAGGGCCUCGAGCUUCAAGGCGAGCUCGGUGGAGUUCUCGACAGCUUCCCCGUAUUCGACGCAUUCGACGUCGCACUCGUACGCGUGCUCGUAGGCGGAGCUAACGGUGAUGACACCCUUGGGCCCGGGCAUCUUCAGCUUCAGGUAUGUGUAGUUAGGGAUAGCCAUAAACUUGGCGUAACCCGGGCGCCCGAUGAUGGCGUGGUAUGUGCCCCGGAAUCCCACCACCUCAAAGGUGAGGGUCUCCUUUCUGAAAUUGGCCGCCAUGCCAAAGCAGACCGGCAGGUCGAUUCGACCUACUGGCAACGCCUUCUUUCUAGGUACGACGCCAUGGAAGCCACCGGCGCUUGGUUGGAGCUGCGCCCUGUUGAUGCCGAGGAGGUCGAGGGUCUCGAGGUAGAUGAUGUUCAGGCUGCUGCCGCCAUCCAUCAGCACCUUUGAGAGUCUGGUGUUGACGAUGAUGGGGUCGACGACGAGCGGGUAGACGCCAGGGGAUACUACCUUGUCGGGGUGGUCGUCUCGAUCGAUGGUGAUGGGAGUGCUUGACCAGCUGAGGUACUGGGGCACUGCCAUCUUGGCCGCAAAGACCUCACGACGCUCCCUCUUGCGCUUCCUUGCGGUUAGCUGCAUCGAGGGUCCACCGUAGAUCAUGUUGCAGUCGUGGACGGCUGGGAAUCCUUCGUCGUCUUUGUCAUCCCCCAUGUCGCCGUUCUUCUCUUUCUUCAGAUCGUCACGGGCGUCCUUCUUGAACCCUAGGCCGUCGAAGUGCUUCUUCAGCAUACGGCAGUCUUCGAGAUUGUGGUUUGCCCCUCCCUUAUGAUAAGGGCAGGGCUCUUUUAGCAUCUUGUCAAAGAUAGCCCCCUCUAGGGGUCCUCGAGGCCUUUUGCGCUCCAUGGCGGCGACGAGAUCGUCGUCGAGGUCCACCCGCUGGAACGGCCGUGUUUUCUUCAUCUUCUUGUUCUUCUUGGGCCCUCGACUAGGGCCCUCAUCAUCAUUGGCUGAUAGCUUGCCUUUCCUUCCUUCGCAGCUAAAGAAGGCACCGACCGCUUCUUCCCCUGCAGCGUAGUUUGCCACUACGUCCAUCAGCUCAUCGAUGGUCUGAUGGCAAUUCCGGCCUAAUUCCCGCACCAAGUCUCGACUGGUGGUGCCAGAGACAAAGGCCAGGAUGACAUCAUGGUCGGGGAUGUGUAGCAGCUCGGUGCGCUGCUUCGAGAAGCGUCGAGCAUAUUCUCGGAGAGUCUCUCCUGUCUUCUGCUUGCAUUUGCUGAGGUCCCACGAGUUGUCGGGCCGUAUGUAGGUUCCUUUGAAGUUACCCUCGAACACCCUGACCAAAUCGACCCAGUCGUGGAUCAGGUUGGCUGGGAGCUCCUCGAGCCAUCUGCGGGCGGUGUCGGAGAGGAAGAGUGGUAGCUGUCAGAUGAUGGCUCGAUCGUCCCCUCGAGCGCCUCCCAGCUGAUAGGCUAGCCUGAAGUCUGCCAGCCAUAGCUCUGGCUUGGUCUCGCCAUUGUAUUCAGCAAUGCUGGUCGGGGUCAGAACGGGCUGGGCAGUGGCGUGCUGCGGAUUGCCCUGCUGAACACCCGAGGGCCCGGCGGUUCUGGGGACAUCCGUUCCUCGUCGCUGUCGUAUCUUCCGCCACGGUGGGCGCUGUAACCACGCUCUUCUGCGUCCCCGUACCGACGGCGACGGUUCUCGUCGAUGUCGCGUCGUGCAUCGUGUCAUCGUUGGUUGUCGACGGGGAGGACGAGUGUUGUCUUUUUCCCUCGUGGGGGCGGCUGCUGAUGGACCGACACCUCCUUUUCAUUCUGGGCCGGCUCAUCACGCUUUUCUAUGGCCACUCCUCGACGUCGAGAGCCGAGCUCUCGGCCUGCUGAACUGCCGCCACCUGGAGCAGAGUCUGCACCAUGUCUCGAAUGCGUCGCACUUGGGAGUUUGACGGUUCGAGCAUAUUACGCAGCAGCAUUGUCGCCGCCACGACGUUCUGGCCUGCUCGAGGGAAACAGCUGACGGGCUGCUCAGGCUCUCCGUCUCCGACGAUCUACCGAUGUACCUCUCGAGCCCGUCUGCGGACACUUCCACCAGGCGGAUAGGGCAGGUCUUGCUCGAGGAUCUAUUCAAGCAGAACAAGGCGCUCGCGAUCCUCAUCGAGCUUCGCUUUGAGCUCUCGUAGCUGCGCAAGUUGCGCAGUUCUGUCUUCUUGCGGAGGGGGGUCGACCUGACCGUCAUUCCCAGGCGUCCUGGGGUCCUCCCUUGCUGCAGGGACUCGACCGCCUACAACAGCGUCAUGUGUCUCGUCGGUGGUUUCCACUGCUCCGUCGAUGUUGAAGCAUUCCCUAGUAGGGUCGUAGCUGUCGGACUCAGAGGCGGAGUCCGGCUCGGCGAUGUAGGAGCAUCCACAUCCCUCCUCCAGCAGCCGUUGCCUGAGUGAGGUGAUUGUGUAUCACCGAGGCCCUAGGCGACGGAGGCCUCAUACGUGGGUGAAAUAUGGCAGCUCGGACGUCCGUUGGUGUACUCCAGUGUCGCGUGGGAGGACCAUUGGUCUCUCCACGUACGUCUAGGCAUUUGGGCAUAUCGCCCUAGCGAGCGACGCCGCGGCAUUGUCCAGACCGAACGACAGCGCUCUUCUUGGGGCGAACAACCCAUGUGGAAGUAGCGUAGCGGCUGGGGAGAGCGCGCGGGGCACGCCACCUCCCAUCGUCGUCGUGCGAUCCUCGUGGCGUUGGGCUGCCAUACCCGCGGUUUCGGAGCGCGAGGCUGUUGGCUCCUGUGUCACCUCCUGCCUGGCUCGAACUAUCAGUCAUGACGAGGCAGAAGGGUGAUGGUGGCACUGUCCACGCCUCUUCAUUGGCGGGGAGGCAUGGUGGCGAGGACGUCUCGGAGCCCUCAAUCGUGCUGGCGCAACGCGGGUUCCUCCCGAUGCUUUGACCGAGAGCAGGAUCAUGUCAUAGCCAGAACCGGUAGACAUGAACUCGAGGCUCCCGAACCAAAUCACCGUGGAGCACGGAAUCAGCGAAACGAGAAUUGCCAUCUGGAAAGGAAUGGGAAAUUGGCGAAAAACACGCAGGACCCCUACCUGGCGCGCCAACUGUCGGUGUUUUCCCCCCGGGGGGUCACACCAACAAGUAAACUUGUAUGCAUGCUCCCCUUUCCAGAUGGUGAUGCAAGAAAAGACACAAAGAUUUAUCAUGGUUAGGGCAAGAGAAGGCCCUACGUCCAGCGGGGGGAGACGUGUUUGUAUUAUCUUGCACCUAAGUGCUUGUACAGGGGUGAAUACAGGCGUGAGAUGGAUAGAGAUGGAGUAUGGAAGCUCUACUACGUGUGUGUGUGUUGUGUUGUAUCGCGUGUCCUGUAUCCGCUCCCAGGCCUCCCCUUUUAUAGUUCUAAGGAGGGGCCUAGGGUACAUGUAUAGGAGUCAGAGUAGGGGUCGAUAGCGGUAUGGCGCGCUGACCUACUCGAGGCCUCCCUACAGGCGUGGUCUCGAGCCAUCUUGUCUUGGUACCUUGAUGAUGAUUACACGUGCCCCUAUAUCCCGCUCUGUGCGCCGUCCUGGGUUGGUUUAUCUGUUGCAUGCUUGUACAUCGCGGUAGCAGCUGCGUCGGAGUGGUUGAAGUGCUGUCAUUCAUCGCCCGACCCUCUCCCAGGAAGGAAACGUGCCUACUCGAGGGUCGGAUGCCGUGUAGCGCCUCGCUAGCCAGAGCGCUGACCUUGGGUGUCUCGAGGGGGGUCUUGAUUAGACGUCCCGACCCACUUCCUGCGUCCUGCCACGCUCUGGCUCGUUUGGUGUGGAAGGCUGCAAAAAGAAUGACAGGACGGGUGCCUGUUCCCUAUCACGCUUCCCGUGACUGGCGGGUUAGGUGAGAACACGGCAGGCGCAUUAAAUGCCCUGGUUCCCGUGCCCACGUCAGGCGACGGGCGGCGUCCUUGCGCUCGAGGCCUUCCGAUUCGCUCGAGCCUGUUUCCAUAUUUGACGGUAGCCGACGCUCGAGCCCUGGUCGAUUCGCAGGACGCUCGAGCCCUGUUUCCGUGUUGGAGACUAUGGUCGUCGUGGACUGUGCAUACAACUAGAGGGGGGUCGAGUUGGAUACCUCGACCUGUGUACGGAUACUCUUGAUAUGCUCAUUAGUUAGGGCACCCCUUACUGAUAUCCUCGACAAUCAUAAAAAUCCAAAUAAAGCUUUUGUGCUUAUAUAUAUCUUUGCUUAAUUUGAUAAAUAAAUAAAUAAAGUUUGCUAUGAACCCUCAUGACAAGCUCUCACAUGGAAAUGAUGAAUAGUUGCUCUGCCAUGACUAGUUCUCAAAAUUGAAAUCUCUCUCAAGUUUAGGCAUGACUGUUAUUAAUUAAGAUUUGCUCUAAACCUGAACUUGUGGGAAGAAAACUUGAUCUAAAGUCUAAGUCGUUAACGGAUACGAUAUGGGAAGCUUGAGCUGUUGUUUAUCUGUUCCUAGAGAUGCUAGAAUUCUAGAGAAUUUUAUCUUUGAAAAUCUUUAAAAUAUCACAUGAUGAGUUCCUGUAUGAUGAGAGUUUAAAUUCCUACCACAUCCAUAUAUACAUGCUUGCUAGACUUAGCCACACAUUUACUUUUUACUGCUUAUGAGCAUUGAGUGUGGUCAAGCUGUGUAGACCCUUAGGAGCUUGUCAUGUGGUUGAAAUCAAGAUCUACUUGCACGUUCACUCAUACAUGCUGCUUCUACUCCGGAAGUACGCAUCCACAUAUAUCCACCCAUUUCCAUCUUCAGAACCACCCAAAAAUAUUCUACUCCUAAUCCGGGAGAGAAUAGCCAAAAAACAUUUCUGUUUUUCUCCUGUGAAAUAAAUGCUCGAGUUAUCUUGGUUACUACCACUUGCUAUAUUAUCUGAUGAGAUGAGUGUUUUUUUAAAAAAAGAAAGAGAUACGAGGAAAUAAAAAGGGGCAAGUGCCCGGAACCUCAAAAGAAAAGAAAAAGUGAGACGAGACGUAAAAAUAGACAAGUGUCCGAUAGUAGAAAUAGGGGUACAAGAUACCCACCUGAGAGUAAAGAAAAAGAAAAUAUAGAGCAUCUCAUUCUCCUCAAAAAGUUUCAAAGGAGCAAGAGAGGUAUGUAUCCCCUCAAAAGAGCACAAGUAGAAUUAGACGUUCACCAUUGCUAUCACCAUACACCAUUCAUUCGCCACACAUGCACAUCUUGAUUUGACUUAUUGACUUGUUCUUCUGGAUCCAUGGUUUGACUAUACAAUAAAUGUCUUGUAAGUUUGUAUUAGCUAUCUCCCACCUAUGAGC
RNAcentral lists this long non-coding RNA (24125 nucleotides) under Sorghum bicolor (sorghum). Its description in RNAcentral is "long non-coding RNA (SBIC_LNC010947)". The record is from RNAcentral. Lineage: Eukaryota; Viridiplantae; Streptophyta; Magnoliopsida; Poales; Poaceae.